Molecule: long non-coding RNA, 424 nt
Organism: Scomber scombrus (Atlantic mackerel)
Lineage: Eukaryota; Metazoa; Chordata; Actinopteri; Scombriformes; Scombridae
Exons: 3
Source: RefSeq, a predicted model, not a curated record
UGAACAAGAAUUACAACAUAUUGGAUGAUAGAUGAUAAGGUGGGAAUUGCCAGAGCCAAUGUCCAGGUGCCAAACCCAAAGAUUAAAAACAGAAAAACAAGAAUUAUGUGAAAUCAAGAACAAAAGAUACAUUUUGUAGAUGACAUUACAUCAUGUAUUGGAGGAAGUAUGACAAAUUCAGCUCUUCAUCCAGCAUCUAGUAGCUGUUGAACAUAUUUUUCUCAGGAGAGUUGUGGACACCAAACUAGAGCUAAAAGGAGAUUGAAUAAUGGAUUCAUAUUCAUCCUGCAGAUGGAUACAUGACUCUGAAUGAAUGCUAAUGUUGUUUUUGUUGACAGGAUGUGUGAAUGGUCACCUGUUUACUAACAUAUUAGCCAUAACAAUUUUAUUCGACUGGAUGUUGGUGUUGUGGUUGUGUUUGUCA